UUCUGGUUAGUUUAGUGGCUAUGACGGCGCCUUGUCAUCUUAGAUGAAGACGCCCGGCGCAGACCCGGGUUCAAUUCCCGGACCGGAAG
Non-coding RNA from Violaceomyces palustris, 89 nucleotides. Lineage: Eukaryota; Fungi; Basidiomycota; Ustilaginomycetes; Violaceomycetales; Violaceomycetaceae. The record is from the annotation of a GenBank genome assembly.